RNAcentral lists this ribosomal RNA (497 nucleotides) under uncultured bacterium. RNAcentral's name for it is "partial 16S ribosomal RNA". It matches the Rfam family "Bacterial small subunit ribosomal RNA", at positions 28 to 507 of the family's 1533-position model. The record is from RNAcentral.
GAUGAACGCUGGCGGCGUGCCUAAUACAUGCCAGUCGAGCGAACAGACGAGGAGCUUGCUCCUCUGUCGUUAGCGGCGGACGGGUGAGUAACACGUGGAUAACCUACCUAUAAGACUGGGAUAACUUCGGGAAACCGGAGCUAAUACCGGAUAAUAUAUUGAACCGCAUGGUUCAAUAGUGAAAGACGGUUUUGCUGUCACUUAUAGAUGGAUCCGCGCCGCAUUAGCUAGUUGGUAAGGUAACGGCUUACCAAGGCAACGAUGCGUAGCCGACCUGAGAGGGUGAUCGGCCACACUGGAACUGAGACACGGUCCAGACUCCUACGGGAGGCAGCAGUAGGGAAUCUUCCGCAAUGGGCGAAAGCCUGACGGAGCAACGCCGCGUGAGUGAUGAAGGUCUUCGGAUCGUAAAACUCUGUUAUUAGGGAAGAACAAAUGUGUAAGUAACUAUGCACGUCUUGACGGUACCUAAUCAGAAAGCCACGGCUAACUACGUG